Molecule: ribosomal RNA, 492 nt
Filed under: uncultured bacterium
Lineage: Bacteria
Description: partial 16S ribosomal RNA
Rfam family: Bacterial small subunit ribosomal RNA
Source: RNAcentral
AGUGAACGCUGGCGGUAGGCCUAACACAUGCAAGUCGAACGGCAGCACAGUAAGAGCUUGCUCUUACGGGUGGCGAGUGGCGGACGGGUGAGGAAUACAUCGGAAUCUACUUUUUCGUGGGGGAUAACGUAGGGAAACUUACGCUAAUACCGCAUACGACCUACGGGUGAAAGCAGGGGAUCUUCGGACCUUGCGCGAUUGAAUGAGCCGAUGUCGGAUUAGCUAGUUGGCGGGGUAAAGGCCCACCAAGGCGACGAUCCGUAGCUGGUCUGAGAGGAUGAUCCGCCACACUGGAACUGAGACACGGUCCAGACUCCUACGGGAGGCAGCAGUUGGGAAUAUUGGACAAUGGGCGCAAGCCUGAUCCAGCCAUACCGCGUGGGUGAAGAAGGCCUUCGGGUUGUAAAGCCCUUUUGUUGGGAAAGAAAAGCAGCAGGUUAAUACCCCGCUGUUCUGACGGUACCCAAAGAAUAAGCACCGGCUAACUUCGUG